GGCGUGGAUUAGGCAUGCAAGUCGUGCGACAAGUUCCCUUCGGGGAGAUGGAGGAGCGGCGAAAGGGAGAGUAACGCGUGGAUACCUGCCUCGAGGUCCGGGAUAGCCGGGGGAAACCCCGUGUAAUACCGGAUAACAUCUCCGGAUCAAAGGUGUGAUUCCGCCUCGAGAUGGGUCCGCGUCCUAUUAGCUUGUUGGUGGGGUAAUGGCCCACCAAGGCGAUGAUGGGUAGUGGGCGUUAGCGCGUGGCCCGCCUCACUGGGACUGAGACACUGCCCAGACACCUACGGGUGGCUGCAGUCGAGAAUCUUCGGCAAUGGGCGCAAGCCUGACCGAGCGACGCCGCGUGCGGGAUGAAGGCCUUCGGGUUGUAAACCGCUGUCAGAGGGGAGGAAAUCCAUGAGGGCACUCUCUCAUGGUUGACCUAUCCUCAGAGGAAGUGCGGGCUAAGUUCGUGCCAGCAGCCGCGGUAAGACGAACCGCACAAACGUUAUUCGGAAUCACUGGGCUUAAAGGGUGCGUAGGCGGCCAUGCAAGUCGGGUGUGAAAGCCCUCAGCUCAACUGAGGAAUUGCGCCCGAUACUGCGUGGCUUGAGGGAGACAGAGGUGAGCGGAACUUGCGGUGGAGCGGUGAAAUGCGUUGAUAUCGCAAGGAACACCAGUAGCGAAAGCGGCUCACUGGGUCUCUUCUGACGCUGAGGCACGAAAGCUAGGGUAGCGAACAGGAUUAGAUACCCUGGUAGUCCUAGCUGUAAACGUUGAGCACUGGGUUGGAGAGUCCUCCAUAGCUUUCCAGCCGUAGCGAAAGUGUUAAGUGCUCCGGCUGGGGAGUAUGG
This 836-nucleotide ribosomal RNA is filed under the name uncultured organism. Its description in RNAcentral is "bacterial SSU rRNA". It matches the Rfam family "Bacterial small subunit ribosomal RNA", at positions 41 to 885 of the family's 1533-position model. The record is from RNAcentral.